UUGAUUCAUUUAUAAUUGUGUACUCAGAAGAUACAGUGUAAAAACAAGAGUUUGGUAGGGGCCACCGGCCGACCUGCUCCUUCUUUGAAGCAAAGAAGGGGCCUCCAAAAGAAGCCAGUCACUGCCGAGGCAACGUUGUUUGAGAAUAAGUUCACAAAGGGUUUCUGGGUAGCGCCCGUGAGGGCGUUUGUUCCAGCAAUGAUCCCUCCGCUGGUUCACCAACGGAGA
RNAcentral lists this unclassified non-coding RNA (228 nucleotides) under uncultured fungus. RNAcentral's name for it is "sequence contains ITS1". The record is from RNAcentral. Lineage: Eukaryota; Fungi.